RNAcentral lists this transfer RNA (78 nucleotides) under Staphylococcus gallinarum. Its description in RNAcentral is "tRNA-Arg(acg)". It matches the Rfam family "tRNA". Rfam says of the family: Transfer RNA (tRNA) molecules are approximately 80 nucleotides in length. Their secondary structure includes four short double-helical elements and three loops (D, anti-codon, and T loops). Further hydrogen bonds mediate the characteristic L-shaped molecular structure. tRNAs have two regions of fundamental functional importance: the anti-codon, which is responsible for specific mRNA codon recognition, and the 3' end, to which the tRNAs corresponding amino acid is attached (by aminoacyl-tRNA synthetases). tRNAs cope with the degeneracy of the genetic code in two manners: having more than one tRNA (with a specific anti-codon) for a particular amino acid; and 'wobble' base-pairing, i.e. permitting non-standard base-pairing at the 3rd anti-codon position. Lineage: Bacteria; Bacillati; Bacillota; Bacilli; Caryophanales; Staphylococcaceae. The record is from RNAcentral.
GCGCCUGUAGCUCAACUGGAUAGAGUGCUUGACUACGGAUCAAGAGGUUAUGGGUUCGACUCCCUAUCAGGCGCGCCA